UACGUACCUACGCGUGCGUGCAACUCUGCGUGACGUUGCUCUGCGCACGUAUAGUAAGUUGCUGGUAAAUAUGGUCUCUGAUAAAUAAACUGCGUACGUAUACGUACGAGAGCCCGGUUUGCACUUUGCACAGUGGUGAUCUUGGAGAACCCACCCCUCUGUGUUCUUGUAUGUAAUUAUGUAUAAAUACCCCACUUUAUAUGUGUUCUCCAUGUACUGUAUGUAUCAAUUUCCAUGUUUACUGUUAUGGGAAUAUGUUAUUGUGCAAUAAAAUCACAGAGGAAUAUAGCCAAAGUUCUACACGGUGCACUUAAUUCCUUCUGUAUGCGAGUAUUUGACAAAACCCUACCACAUUAGGGGUUGCCGUCCCACAAAACUACCACAUUCAAAAAAGUGACUGAUAACUAUCAAUUUUUUUAAUUUUGUGACAAAAACUACCAUUUUUGAAAAAUUGUCAGUUUAGACGAUUUAAACACGUUUAUGACAUGCGGGACCCACCUAUCAGGGCCGACGUGGCGACAAAGUCAACUCCGUUUAUUUUGACCGUUAAGCUGACCGUUAUGACAGGUGGGGCCCACACAUCAUUCUUCUUCUUCCUCUCUCUAUCUUUCUUUGGCAUUUUACCAAACACGUCUUGUGCAUGGGAGGGAAGCAGGUUAACUCCGGUGACGCGCCCGCCGUGAAGAUGCCCCCGCUGCUCCUGACUGAGGAAGAUGGUCCACAGGACGCCCCAUCGCACCCAGGACGACAGCGAGGUGCGCGCCUCACCUGCCGGAGUGCUUCGCCAAGGUGCUCGCGCUGCAAGAGUUGCUCGCGCACUCGGCCGAGCCUCGUGGUAGGUGGGAGCCUCGAUGUCGCGUUCCAGCGGAAGGGGAGGAGGGUGUUGCGGAGCUCCGGCUCACAGCGGUCGUGCAGGAGGCGAGAGCGAGGCCGGAGACGGGUGCUGCUGCUUGCUGCCGCUGCUACUGCUCCUAUGCUGGAGGAUGUCGUGGUGGUCUUUUUGGAGGUGGCAGCGAAGGACACGGCUCUGAUGGCCGAAAACACGGCAGUGGCCUGCGGCCUGCGGCUCGGUGGCGUGGGCUCGGAGUUUGAGGAGCGACUCCUGGAAUACGCCGUGCGCGUCGGAGAGAUGCAGGAAGCCGUCGAUGAGGCAGUCGACGGUGUUUGACCCGCUAUGUAGUGCGGCGAGGGCUCCGAGAUGAGCAGGAGCUCGGCGAGCACGGCGAGGCGGUCGAGGCCCGUGGUGCUGUUGCUUGCAGCCGCUGCUGCUGCUCCUUGCCGCUGACCACGAGCUCUAGCUCGAAGGGAGGGCGGCGGCAGCAGGGCCUAGAGCUUGCAUCACCUCGGCUUUGCGUGCAGCUGCGCGGGCUUCUCCUCUGGCACCCUCUGGCAUGGAAGGCCACCGGAGUGCAGGGCGACAAAGGCCACCAGAGCAUGAGGGGGCGGCUGGGCGCCGGCUGAAAGCUGCACAGGAUGAUGCAUAGGAGGUGUUUGGAAAAAUGCCAAAGAAAGAUAGACAGAGGAAGAAGAAGAAUGACGUGUGGGCCCCACUUGUCAUAACGGUCAAAAUAAAUAGAGUUCGUGGCCCCACGACAACCCCUAAUGUGGUAGUUUUUUUGUCAAAUACCCUCUGUAUGCCGUAUUUCAAUGCUGCAAAGAAAAUAGAGGAAAAUAAC
RNAcentral lists this long non-coding RNA (1676 nucleotides) under Triticum aestivum (bread wheat). Its description in RNAcentral is "long non-coding RNA (TAES_LNC024762)". The record is from RNAcentral. Lineage: Eukaryota; Viridiplantae; Streptophyta; Magnoliopsida; Poales; Poaceae.